UGUUGCUUAGGCUUUUAUAUAGAUAGAUUGGAAUGAUACAGAGAAGAUUAGACUGGCCCUUGCAAAAGGAUGACACCCAAAUGUGUGAAGUGUUCCAUUUUUUU
This is a small nuclear RNA of Eptesicus fuscus (big brown bat), 104 nucleotides long. Lineage: Eukaryota; Metazoa; Chordata; Mammalia; Chiroptera; Vespertilionidae. The record is from RefSeq and is a predicted model, not a curated record.